UAAUUAAGGGAAGGAAGAGACGUCGCUUAUGGAACACGCGUCAAAGUCUCCUCUUCUCUCUCUCGCUCAUCUCUCCUCUCUUUCUUUGCCGGUGUGAAGUCUAAAGAAGAAGACCGGUUCACGAAUCUUGAUCCUUCGACCUCUAGAGCGAUUGAUGCCAAGACCUCUGAGUUUGCAUCUGGGCUUCUUGGCUUGAGCUCUCUUUCUCUGGGUUACAUCAACUGAGUUUUUUCAUAAAACUGUUGCUUCUUCCCAGGGAGGGGAGGAAAACAAGAAUGGCGUUUGCUAAAAUGUUUUUGCUUUUCAGCAAAUUUCAGCAGCUUGCGGCAUUGUAGAAUCCAUGACAACUGCAAUAUGAAGCUGACAUUAACAAGCUUUUUAUGUUUACAAGCUAUAAUCGUUUGGGGAGAGAUGCUGAGGAGGCUGAUGCAGAAGAGAUCACUGAGAUGGCUGGUAAAGCCACUUUAUCUGAGCAACAGAAGCAAGUACAAGAGAACAUUCACUACCAACUCCAAAACUUGGAAAGUUGAAGAUUUGUCAUUCUCAUUAAUGUAUGGGAUGUUUUUGAAGCAUAUGAGUUUUGAUUAUGUCAAGCUUUGGGUUGUGUGUGUUGCCAUUGAUACAUAGCUUUUCUUUGGGAGCAUCAUUCAGUGGAAGUUACUGAUGAGAACCGUGAAGCUGCUCAAGAAGCUAAAGGCAAAGCCAUGGAGGCUCUCUCUGAAGGAAACUUCGAUGAAGCAAUUGAGCAUCCUACAUCAGCUAUCAUAUACGGGAACAGAGGUGAUCGUGCUUUUUAUUUAAUAAUUUGCGAACGAUGGAUGCUGCAAGAAGGAAAGAACGAUUAUGCCUUUCAAGUGAGCUGCCCCACCUAGACCAAGUAGCUGUUGCUGGAUAUAGUGUAUUGUCAUAGACUGUAUGCACGUGUGUGCCAGACUGAGAACAUUUGACUUUGAAAAUUUUUGAGUGGCUUACAAAACGCAAAAACGUGUGGUGAAUAUGUGAUGACCGUGAAUACAAGUAGGAUGCAAAAAUUAUGUGGUUAUAAUUAACGUUUGGUCCUUAAAUUUAUAAA
Long non-coding RNA from Brassica napus (rape), 1072 nucleotides. RefSeq lists it as uncharacterized. The transcript is spliced from 6 exons. The record is from RefSeq and is a predicted model, not a curated record. NCBI's taxonomy places the organism in Eukaryota, Viridiplantae, Streptophyta, Magnoliopsida, Brassicales, Brassicaceae.